Molecule: ribosomal RNA, 433 nt
Filed under: uncultured bacterium
Lineage: Bacteria
Description: partial 16S ribosomal RNA
Rfam family: Bacterial small subunit ribosomal RNA
Source: RNAcentral
AACGAACGCUGGCGGCAUGCCUAACACAUGCCAGUCGAACGAGACCUUCGGGUCUAGUGGCGCACGGGUGCGUAACGCGUGGGAACCUGCCCUUAGGUUCGGAAUAACUCCCCGAAAGGGGUGCUAAUACCGGAUAAUGUCUUCGGACCAAAGAUUUAUCGCCUUUGGAUGGGCCCGCGUUGGAUUAGCUAGUUGGUAGGGUAAAAGCCUACCAAGGCGACGAUCCAUAGCUGGUCUGAGAGGAUGAUCAGCCACACUGGGACUGAGACACGGCCCAGACUCCUACGGGAGGCAGCAGUGGGGAAUAUUGGACAAUGGGCGAAAGCCUGAUCCAGCAAUGCCGCGUGAGUGAUGAAGGCCUUAGGGUUGUAAAGCUCUUUUACCCGGGAUGAUAAUGACAGUACCGGGGGAAUAAGCUCCGGCUAACUCCGUG